RNAcentral lists this ribosomal RNA (817 nucleotides) under uncultured microorganism. Its description in RNAcentral is "bacterial SSU rRNA". It matches the Rfam family "Bacterial small subunit ribosomal RNA", at positions 98 to 913 of the family's 1533-position model. The record is from RNAcentral.
GCGAACGGGUGAGUAAUGCAUCGGAACGUGCCCAGUAGUGGGGGAUAACGCGUCGAAAGAUGUGCUAAUACCGCAUACGCACUACGGUGGAAAGCGGGGGACCGCAAGGCCUCGCGCUAUUGGAGCGGCCGAUGUCCGAUUAGCUAGUUGGUGGGGUAAUGGCUCACCAAGGCUGUGAUCGGUAACUGGUCUGAGAGGACGACCAGUCACACUGGGACUGAGACACGGCCCAGACUCCUACGGGAGGCAGCAGUGGGGAAUAUUGGACAAUGGGGGCAACCCUGAUCCAGCGAUGCCGCGUGGGUGAAGAAGGCCUUCGGGUUGUAAAGCCCUUUAGGUCAGGAAGAAGUUGCCUUGAGGAAAUGCGAGGUAAUUGACGGUACUGACAGAAUAAGCACCGGCAAACUCUGUGCCAGCAGCCGCGGUAAUACAGAGGGUGCGAGCGUUAAUCGGAAUUACUGGGCGUAAAGGGCGCGUAGGCGGUUAGAUGAGUGUGAUGUGAAAGCCCUGGGCUUAACCUAGGAAGUGCAUUGCAAACGAUCUAACUGGAGUAGAUGAGAGGGUGGGUGGAAUUUCCGGUGUAGCAGUGAAAUGCGUAGAGAUCGGAAGGAACGUCGAUGGCGAAGGCAGCCACCUGGCAUCAUACUGACGCUGAGGCGCGAAAGCGUGGGUAGCAAACAGGAUUAGAUACCCUGGUAGUCCACGCUGUAAACGAUGAGAACUAGAUGUUGGUAGGGGAACCUAUCAGUAUUGAAGCUAACGCGAUAAGUUCUCCGCCUGGGAAGUACGGCCGCAAGGUUGAAACUCAAGGAAUUGA